UAACCCACUUUGGACCAACAAGUGUCUCUGGUGACUUGCACAGGGGGGUAGAGAAGCUCUCUCAUAAACCCGUAGUGGAGGCCGUCAUCCUCGCUGCGGAUCCUGUCGGGAGAAACAUUG
This is a small nucleolar RNA of Syngnathoides biaculeatus (alligator pipefish), 120 nucleotides long. RefSeq annotates it as small nucleolar RNA SNORA26. The record is from RefSeq and is a predicted model, not a curated record. The transcript has a single exon. NCBI's taxonomy places the organism in Eukaryota, Metazoa, Chordata, Actinopteri, Syngnathiformes, Syngnathidae.